Molecule: ribosomal RNA, 473 nt
Filed under: uncultured bacterium
Lineage: Bacteria
Description: bacterial SSU rRNA
Rfam family: Bacterial small subunit ribosomal RNA
Source: RNAcentral
GAUGAACGCUAGCGGCAGGCUUAACACAUGCAAGUCGAGGGGCAGCAUGAUAGGUAGCAAUACUUAUUGAUGGCGACCGGCGCAAGGGUGCGUAACGCGUGAGUAACAUGCCCGUAUCAGGAGGAUAACCCGGAGAAAUCCGGACUAAUACUGCAUAAUAUCGAUUUGAGGCAUCUUGGAUUGAUUAAAGUUUCGACGGAUACGGAUUGGCUCGCGUGACAUUAGCUAGAUGGUAAGGUAACGGCUUACCAUGGCGACGAUGUCUAGGGGUUCUGAGAGGAAGGUCCCCCANACUGGAACUGAGACACGGUCCAGACUCCUACGGGAGGCAGCAGUGAGGAAUAUUGGACAAUGGAUGGAAAUCUGAUCCAGCCAUGCCGCGUGAAGGAAUACGGUCCUAUGGAUUUUAAACUCUUUUGUAUGGGAGCAAUAAGGUGUACGCGUACAUCGAUGAGAGUACCAUACGAAUAAGC